RNAcentral lists this ribosomal RNA (433 nucleotides) under uncultured bacterium. RNAcentral describes it as "partial 16S ribosomal RNA". It matches the Rfam family "Bacterial small subunit ribosomal RNA", at positions 29 to 507 of the family's 1533-position model. The record is from RNAcentral.
AACGAACGCUGGCGGCAUGCCUAACACAUGCAAGUCGAACGAGACCUUCGGGUCUAGUGGCGCACGGGUGCGUAACGCGUGGGAACCUGCCCUUAGGUUCGGAAUAACUCCCCGAAAGGGGUGCUAAUACCGGAUAAUUUCUUCGGACCAAAGAUUUAUCGCCUUUGGAUGGGCCCGCGUUGGAUUAGCUAGUUGGUAGGGUAAAAGCCUACCAAGGCGACGAUCCAUAGCUGGUCUGAGAGGAUGAUCAGCCACACUGGGACUGAGACACGGCCCAGACUCCUACGGGAGGCAGCAGUGGGGAAUAUUGGACAAUGGGCGAAAGCAUGAUCCAGCAAUGCCGCGUGAGUGAUGAAGGCCUUAGGGUUGUAAAGCUCUUUUACCCGGGAUGAUAAUGACAGUACCGGGAGAAUAAGCUCCGACUAACUCCGUG